This 387-nucleotide ribosomal RNA is filed under the name uncultured bacterium. RNAcentral's name for it is "bacterial SSU rRNA". It matches the Rfam family "Bacterial small subunit ribosomal RNA", at positions 29 to 441 of the family's 1533-position model. The record is from RNAcentral.
AACGAACGCUGGCGGCAGGCUUAACACAUGCAAGUCGAACGGGUGUAGCAAUACAUCAGUGGCAGACGGGUGAGUAACACGUGGGAACCUUCCUAGGGGUACGGAACAACUCAGGGAAACUUGAGCUAAUACCGUAUACGUCCGUAAGGAGAAAGAUUCAUCGCCCCUAGACGGGCCCGCGUCGGAUUAGGUAGUUGGUGGGGUAACGGCCUACCAAGCCUACGAUCCGUAGCUGAUCUGAGAGGANGAUCAGCCACACUGGGACUGAGACACGGCCCAGACUCCUACGGGAGGCAGCAGUGGGGAAUCUUGGACAAUGGGCGCAAGCCUGAUCCAGCCAUGCCGCGUGAGUGAAGAAGGCCUUAGGGUUGUAAAGCUCUUUUACCA